This 468-nucleotide ribosomal RNA is filed under the name uncultured bacterium. RNAcentral describes it as "partial 16S ribosomal RNA". It matches the Rfam family "Bacterial small subunit ribosomal RNA", at positions 28 to 507 of the family's 1533-position model. The record is from RNAcentral.
GACGAACGCUGGCGGCGUGCUUAACACAUGCAAGUAGAACGGUGAGGACAUGAUUUUGCGGUGUGUUGGAGUGGCGCGCAGGGGAGUAUCACGUGUAUAUCAUGCGCUUGACAUUGGGAUAACUUCAGGAAAAACGAGCUCUUACAGGACAGGACCUCGUGCUGCAUGGUGGGGGUAGGAGAGAUUCGCAGGUUUGGGAUGGAAUCGCGGAUUAUCAGUUUGUUGGUGGGUAAGUGGCUUACCAGGGCUUUGACGGGUAGCCGGCCUGAGAGGGUGACCGGCCACAUUGGGACUGAGGUACGGCCCAGACUCCUACGGGAGGCAGCAGUGGGAAACAUUGCACAAUGGGCGGAAGCCUGAUGCAGCAACGCCGCGUGCGGGAUGACGGCCUUCGGGUUGUAAACCGCUUGCGCCUGUGACGAAGCGUGUGUGACGGUAACGGGUAAAGAAGCACCGGCUAACUACGUG